CGCCAGGCCCUGCGCAAUGUGGAGGCUACAAACCCCGUCAGGUUCGGAAGAAAGCAGCGGUAGUAGUUUUCCCAUGUGCCGCAGUAAGCCUGGCUUUU
Molecule: signal recognition particle RNA, 98 nt
Filed under: Deltaproteobacteria bacterium
Lineage: Bacteria; Pseudomonadati; Myxococcota; Myxococcia
Description: signal recognition particle sRNA small type
Rfam family: Bacterial small signal recognition particle RNA
About the family: The signal recognition particle (SRP) is a universally conserved ribonucleoprotein involved in the co-translational targeting of proteins to membranes.
Source: RNAcentral